GGAGCGUGAAGAAGGACACAAGAGUUGACUAUCUCCGUCUCGUUAUCAUCGGUGUUACAGGUAGGUUACUCCUGGAAAGGUUCCCUGUUGUUCCACAUGGUCUCUCUUUAUGGAGGAUGGCUCUCAUGGUGGUUAUCUGGAUUCCCAAACCUUUUGAAACCGUUCCAUUGGAAACAGGUAUUUCUACCAGCAUUAUGAAGCAGUGAGUAACAUUCAAGGGAAGGAACAACAAGGCUGGGAGACAGGAACAUAGCACAGAUUUCUGCCACGGGAGCCAGCAGCCAGACC
Girardinichthys multiradiatus is the source of this 288-nucleotide long non-coding RNA. RefSeq lists it as uncharacterized. Lineage: Eukaryota; Metazoa; Chordata; Actinopteri; Cyprinodontiformes; Goodeidae. The record is from RefSeq and is a predicted model, not a curated record. The transcript has 3 exons.